Molecule: ribosomal RNA, 447 nt
Rfam family: 5.8S ribosomal RNA (bases 1-126)
UUGCAACGAUGAAGAACGCAGCGAAAUGCGAUACGUAGUGUGAAUUGCAGAAUUCCGCGAAUCAUCGAGUCUUUGAACGCAAGUUGCGCCCGAGGCUUGUCCGAGGGCAUUUCCGCUAGAGCGUCACCGCGCCCCCCAAACACCGAUCCAAGUGCACAGCUUGGGUCGAGUGGAGCUGGCCGUCCCGACCUGGCGUCGCGCCGCGACGUCGACCGGGUCGGCUGAAAUGGAGAGAAACUGGCCGCCGUGGCGACACGGCCCGCGAUCGGGUGGUCCGAGCGCUAACCCGCUCGGAGUUAUUUCAAAGCGCGGCCGCGUCACCCAGUUGGUCCAGCCUCGAACAGCAGGUGUCUCGACGGGGUUGACGGGGUUAACGCCUCGUUGAUCCGUCGGGAGAAGCGUCACGCAUCAGACCUCUAAUCGGAAAAGACCACGCGCUGAAUUUAA